Molecule: RNA transcript, 2122 nt
Organism: Vicia villosa (hairy vetch)
Lineage: Eukaryota; Viridiplantae; Streptophyta; Magnoliopsida; Fabales; Fabaceae
Exons: 5
Source: RefSeq, a predicted model, not a curated record
CUAUUAAGGAGGAACACGUGGGAGAUAUUUUUUUUCCGUAACCCCUUCACUCUCUUAAUUUCCAACAAGUAUGCAAAUUUGAACCCUAACCGUAUCUCAUGAAACCUCCUCCAAUGAUUCGUUCGAUUCUCUAACCCUAGAAGAUUCCAUUUCUUCACUUCCAAUUCUUCGCCAUGGCUUUUGCUCAAGAUUCUGGAGCCUCGCCGCCGUCAGACGUCGCCGAUUUGAACGACUCCAUAAGCUGCCUGAAAUUGAACCACUCUUCCGACGAACACGCCGACGAUGCUCCUCCAUCGUCCAGUGACGGUAACAUCAACAUCUCCGAUGACGUUAUCAAUCAAGUUGACCAGUUCCUUCUUGAUGCGGUUCAGAACCCCCGCGAACGCCUUUCCAUUCUGCGGAUGGAGCAGGAUGUUGUGAAGUUCAUUCAUGAUCCGAAUCAACAGCAGCUUGAAUUUCAGAAACUACCGACUUCGUAUUUGCGGUUGGCAGCGCAUCGGGUGGCUCAGCAUUACUCGUUGCAGUCAAUGGUUUUAGUGGAUGAUAGUUUACCAGAUGGUUCUGGGUCGAUUAUUAUUGUCCACAAGAGUUUUGGAUAUAAGCCUCCUCUCGUUCGUCUUGCAGACAUCCCUGUAAAGUUAGCGUCAGAAGACACUGCUCUCAAGCAGGUUGCGAUUAAACAGAGACCACAGAAGCAGUCUCUAGCUCUUAGUGAUACAGAUUCAAAUUCAGUUAAGAAUCGGAACUCUAAAAGUGUGGAAGAGAGGACAGAGGAGUAUAGUAGGGCUCGGGCUAGGAUCUUUAGUUCAAGUGAUAAUGGUAGUACUAUGGAUGGGAAGCCAGAACCAGGUUGCGAGUCAAGGAAGCAGGAUAACUCUUUACUUGGUUCUUUGGAUUUUUCUCAGGUUGAAGAUAAACCGGCUUCUGUGCCGGAUGUCAGUUCCAGUAGGGUGUUGAUUGAGUCUUCCACAACUAACAUUAAGGCUAGAAAUAGGGAAGAGAAGGAAUCAGUUGGUAGGCCCAUGCAGAAUAGCAGGGUGGCGAUAUAUCGGGACCGUGAAGUUGACCGCAAGGAUCCUGAUUAUGACAGGAGCUAUGAAAGGUAUGUGCAACGAUUUGACCCUGGAUUUGGGUUCAAUGGAGGAUCAUAUACCAUGCAGCCGAUGUAUACAGCCGUAUCAAAUUACCGCACGGACUUUCCACAUCUUGGAUCCACUCAUGAACUGCAGCUUUUUACUGAACACCACCCACAACCUCUUUUCCAGCACAUACCUGGACCAUGGGCUCCACCAUUACCUGCUGGAAUAGGAUAUGGAUAUCCAGAGGUCAUGUUACCUUUUAAUCCUAGACAAGUCGGUACAUGCUCUGCACCGGCUUUGUAUUUGCAUUCAUCUCAGUAUUCUUGUCACUGUCAUGGAAUGCCUUUUAUUCCUCAUGAACCUCUUCAUCAACCAUUUCUACAGUCUCAUCAACCACCACCUGAUGCAAAUUAUGGACUGGUCUGGCCCUGGUAAAGGGUAUGGGCUGUGCCGGCAACUGAUCAGCCUGGGACAUAUGUUGUUAACUGAUGGGCUGCUGCAGCUUAAAAGAUUUCUGUUAGCUGAUUUCAGUGCAGGCAUAUGGGCCGAGUUUGACUGGAAUGGAUUUGUACAUUUCUGUAAGACCAUCAUUGAUGCUUUCCACCAUUCUUGGUCUUCAAAGAUGCUUAUUGCAUCUUCCAUGUCCCUUGCAGACAUUUGUGAUUUCAGUUAAGAGCUUCUAGAUUACGCACAUUGCUCCUGAUGAUUAUCAGGAGUCCCUUGAGGACUUAUCCAGAGCUGAAUAAGUUUGCUCUUGAUUUGAAUGAAGCUCCUUAAAGAGCUCAAGUUCUUACUCUGUAAUAGAGCUUGGCAAGUCUGCAUUCUCACUGCUGGAAUUUUGUUGCCGAGAUUUAGGUGGAAUUUCCCAAGCUGUUGUCAUGCGAUGCUUUACACUAUUCUGAUGAAUUAUGCUAAACAUGUAUACCACGACAUAUAUGUGUAUAAAAUGUAUUCAUCUCAGCAAGUACUAUUUUUCUGCAUGGAUUUUCUUUCCAUUUAUCUAUUAGUUGGUUGAUUUAAACCAUUUAGGGUGUGUUUGGUUC